RNAcentral lists this ribosomal RNA (824 nucleotides) under Bacillus sp. SMT-8. Its description in RNAcentral is "partial 16S ribosomal RNA". The stretch from base 86 to 824 matches the Rfam family "Bacterial small subunit ribosomal RNA", at positions 1 to 1258 of the family's 1533-position model. The record is from RNAcentral. Lineage: Bacteria; Bacillati; Bacillota; Bacilli; Caryophanales; Bacillaceae.
CUCCGGGGUACCGUAAAUGGCUAACCGUACAGUCGAGCGAUGGAUUAAGAGCUUGCUCUUAUGAAGUUAGCGGAGCCGUUGAAAGAGUAACACGUGGGUAACCUGCCCAUAAGACUGGCCGGGCGUAAGCGCGCGCAGGGGGUUACUUAAGUAUGAUGUGAAAUCCCCUGGCUCAACCUGGGAAGGCCAUUUCGAACUGAUGGACUUGAGUCGCGUAAGAGGGUUGUGGAAUUAACGGUGUAGCGGUGAAAUGCGUAGACAUCUGAAAGGAACACCAGUGGCGAAGGCGACUGACUGGACUGUGUACUGACUCUGAGGGGCGAAAGCGUGGGGAGCAAACAGGAUUAGAUACCCUGGUAGUCCACGCCGUAAACGAUGAAGGCUAACGGUUCGAUAGAUUCCGUUCUUAAUGGCUCAACUUAACGCCUUAACUGACACCCCCGGGGGAUUCCGGGUCGCCACGACUAAAUCUGAAUGAAGUUGCCGGGGUCCCACGCAACUGGGGAACCCGGAGUUUGAGUUCAAACCACCCCCAAAAGCCUUCCCAGGUCUUGUCUUUAAGUCACUUCCCUAAAAGUGAAGGGUCCCUUUCGGAAACGUAAUACCAGAACUGGCAAGUUUAACUCCACUUCUAGCCUAGAAAUAUGGGAUGAAUUCCAUCACCAACCCCACCCUUUUAUUUUAUUACCGACCCUUCAUGUGGGCACCCUUUAAGUGACAUACCGUGACACAAGCCGAAGAAAGUGGGGAUUAACUGCAAUUUUUCUGCCCCUUUACAGCUGAAGUUAACGCAUUAAGCUCUCCGCCCUGGGGAGUACGGCCGC